Molecule: long non-coding RNA, 546 nt
Organism: Scatophagus argus
Lineage: Eukaryota; Metazoa; Chordata; Actinopteri; Scatophagidae
Exons: 4
Source: RefSeq, a predicted model, not a curated record
AGGAGGAGGAGGAGGAGGAGGAGAAGACCGUCCUGUCCGGAGUGCUGCUCAGCUGCAAGUGCACUGCGGAGGAGGCGAGAGGAGAAGGGGGCACGUCCACCCUCCAGUUCAUCUCCCCUGAUAGGACUCCUGCAAAGCCCCGACCUCUGCCCAGUCCAGCACCUGUGGGAUGAGGACUGGGACGUCGACCGAGAGCUGGUUCUGACCUCACUGACGCUCCUGCGGCUGAAUGGGGUAGCUGAUUUAAAGCCUGAAACCAGCACAUUACAGUACUAAUGAGGCAGGGAACAUUAGAAACACCUCUCCACAACAGGACAGCCACACAGUACAGCCUCAGCAUUUGUCCCGAGAGUCCACACACAGGAGACCCGAGGGACUGAAGGGAUAACAGGCAGUCAGUAACUUAGCGUCCCAAGUACAAGCAUGUUCUCCCAUCAGUCGACAGACGAGGCACCACAAGGUGCGUUAUCACAAUCCACCACAAGAGGGCGACACAGCGGAGCUCAGGUCAGCAGCUCGCACUCACAUUUUGUGUGACGAUCUUGA